GAUGAACGCUAGCGGGAGGCUUAAUACAUGCAAGUCGAACGGUAACAGGCGUAGCAAUACGCGCUGACGAGUGGCGAACGGGUGAGUAACACGUACGCAAUUUGCCUCUGACUGAGGGAUAGCCCCGGGAAACUGGGAUUAAUACCUCAUAAUAUUAUGAUUCGGCAUCGGAUUAUAAUUAAACCUCCGGGGGUCAGAGAUGAGCGUGCGUCUGAUUUGGUAGUUGGUAGGGUAACGGCCUACCAAGCCAACGAUCAGUAGCUGGCGUGAGAGCGCGACCAGCCACACGGGCACUGAGACACGGGCCCGACUCCUACGGGAGGCAGCAGUAGGGAAUAUUGGACAAUGGCCGAAAGGCUGAUCCAGCCAUCCCGCGUGCAGGUAGACGGUCCUAUGGAUUGUAAACUGCUUUUCUCUGGGAAGAAACCCCACGAUUUUUCGAGGGCUGACGGUACCAGAGGAAUAAGCACCGGCUAACUCCGUGCCAGCAGCCGCGGUAAUAC
This 503-nucleotide ribosomal RNA is filed under the name uncultured bacterium. RNAcentral's name for it is "bacterial SSU rRNA". It matches the Rfam family "Bacterial small subunit ribosomal RNA", at positions 28 to 526 of the family's 1533-position model. The record is from RNAcentral.